GACGAACGCUGGCGGCGUGCUUAACACAUGCAAGUCGAACGGAAAGGCCCUGCUUGUGUGGUGUUCUCGAGUGGCGCACGUGUGAGUCACACGUGAGUAACCUGCCCUUGACUUUGGGAUAACUUCAGGAAUGUGGGGCUAAUACCGGAUAGGAGCUCCUGCUGCAUGGUGGUGGUUGGAAAGUUUCGGCGGUGGGGGAUGGACUCGCGGCUUAUCAUCUUGUUGGUGGGGUAGUGGCUUACCAAGGCUUUGACGGGUAGCCGGCCUGAGAGGGUGACCGGCCACAUUGGGACUGAGAUACGGCCCAGACUCCUACGGGAGGCAGCAGUGGGGAAUAUUGCACAAUGGGCGGAAGCCUGAUGCAGCAACGCCGCGUGCGGGAUGACGGCCUUCGGGUUGUAAACCGCUUUCGCCUGUGAUGAAGCGUGAGUGACGGUAAUGGGUAAAGAAGCACCGGCUAACUACGUG
RNAcentral lists this ribosomal RNA (468 nucleotides) under uncultured bacterium. Its description in RNAcentral is "partial 16S ribosomal RNA". It matches the Rfam family "Bacterial small subunit ribosomal RNA", at positions 28 to 507 of the family's 1533-position model. The record is from RNAcentral.